This 482-nucleotide ribosomal RNA is filed under the name uncultured bacterium. RNAcentral's name for it is "partial 16S ribosomal RNA". It matches the Rfam family "Bacterial small subunit ribosomal RNA", at positions 28 to 506 of the family's 1533-position model. The record is from RNAcentral.
GACGAACGCUGGCGGCGUGCUUAACACAUGCAAGUCGAACGCUGAAGCUCAGCUUUUGUUGGGUGGAUGAGUGGCGAACGGGUGAGUAACACGUGAGUAACCUGCCUCCUUCUUUGGGAUAACGCCCGGAAACGGGUGCUAAUACUGGAUAUUCACUGGUCUUCGCAUGGGGGUUGGUGGAAAGGGUUUUUCUGGUGGGGGAUGGGCUCGCGGCCUAUCAGCUUGUUGGUGGGGUGAUGGCCUACCAAGGCUUUGACGGGUAGCCGGCCUGAGAGGGUGACCGGUCACAUUGGGACUGAGAUACGGCCCAGACUCCUACGGGAGGCAGCAGUGGGGAAUAUUGCACAAUGGGCGCAAGCCUGAUGCAGCGACGCCGCGUGAGGGAUGGAGGCCUUCGGGUUGUGAACCUCUUUCGCUCAUGGUCAAGCCGCAACAAUGGUUGUGGUGGGGGUAGUGGGUAAAGAAGCGCCGGCUAACUACGU